CAACAAGCUAAUAUCCAAAACAAUAUUAUGUACAAACAAGAAGCUGUUCUCGUCUCAAAUUACUACUUCAGCUGAUUUCAUAGCAUUGUAAAUGCCCCUUUCUAAUUUUGAAAAUCCACAAUUUCUGAGGUUUUUUGUCCUGUGGAAAUUUAUAAAAUGCCGUAGUUUCUGUGUUUUAAUGGCUGCAUGACCAUCUUCCGGAUACAAGGUGUGUGUUCUUUUAUAUUGCAUAUUAACAUUUAUUUAAUACCUAAUUACAUUUAAAUUGUGUACUUUUAGUUGGGUAAAAGUACGUUAAUGUACUUAAAUAUUAAAUGUAAAACAAAAACUUGUAUUUAUGAAAUGUAAUAGAGUACAAAUUAUGAUAAUAUGCUAUGGAAUGUAUGUUUUCCAAAGCAAAACACUGAUAAAAUACAAAUUGUAGAAAUGAGUGAGGAGUCCAUGUUCAAUGCAAACCAGCCGUAUUUAUUACAUAAACAUCAGUAGUGUAUAUGCAAGUUACAGCUUACACAGCCACAGGCAACAAACCGAAACUGGUGCGUUCCAGGCAGGUUUUUAAACCCGUGAGUUACGACUUCAAAACCACGACUCACGACCUUAUGCGUUCCAGGCAGCCCGUAACUCGUGUUUUUACAACCUUCUACCGGUGAAAGUGCACUGGAACGGCAGUCAAACCCGUGACUUCCCACCCGUGAACUCGUACUAGAUCGAUGUACUCCCAAGCCGUUUCUCAAUAUGCGUUCUUGUCUGUACUUGUGUUCUUGUGGACUUGUGAAACGUCAUCAGUCGCGGCCCAAGUACUGUUCCAAUUCAAAGUUCGCAUCAAGCCCAAGUUCACAUAAAAUCCCCGGAUGUGUUCUUGAUCCGCCCAUUUUAUCGAGGAUGCAUCAGAGGAGACUUGUGUGGACUUAUGACAGCGAAGUUUCCCAGAAUGCAUUUCGCGUCAGGAGUUCGUUCUUCCGAGUCUGAACUUGCAAGUUCGAACUACGAAGGACACAAGUCCGAGUUCGGCGUACUUGGUUUUGAGAAACGGCUCCAGUUCAGAGUCGUGAGGCGUGGUUUUGAACUCUGGGCGUAACCGCACGCGCUUUCGCCGAAGAUGACGUCACGUGCAUACCCAUAUGAAGCAGAUCUUGGCAGAGACUCGCCACAUGUUUUCAGUGUUUGGACUGAGUGGAUCGAGAAAACAUUACAGAUUUCGGACAACAGUCUUCGACUGCGAUCGUUUAAAUAACAUGACCAGAGCAUAAACGAUAAUCUUCACCCAAGAGACAUACAGCUGGGACAAUCGUUUUGGCUUUAAAGUUAUCUUGACCCAAGAGACCUACUGUUGGGACUUUCAUUUUGGCUUUUAAUGUAAAUGCAUUUUUAGUCACAAUGUCUAGUUACUGGGCCAAAAGGAGAAGAAUACUGAAAGGAGUUGAGAGGGACAAACAGGAAAUUGCAGCUGCAAACGAUGCUCUACUUGCUGUUUUUCUCGAAUUUGACCAAGUAAAUCUUCCUGUUAAUGAGCAUCAACAUGCAGUGGCUACAACAAGUCACGGACAAACUGUUACCCCUGAAGAAAACCAGGAAAACAUUGAGCCAUCUGUAGACUUCA
Paramisgurnus dabryanus is the source of this 1600-nucleotide non-coding RNA. The record is from RefSeq and is a predicted model, not a curated record. NCBI's taxonomy places the organism in Eukaryota, Metazoa, Chordata, Actinopteri, Cypriniformes, Cobitidae.